Molecule: ribosomal RNA, 552 nt
Filed under: uncultured bacterium
Lineage: Bacteria
Description: bacterial SSU rRNA
Rfam family: Bacterial small subunit ribosomal RNA
Source: RNAcentral
AGGGUUUGAUCAUGGCUCAGGACGAACGCUGGCGGCAUGCCUAACACAUGCAAGUCGAACGAGAAAGUUCCUUCGGGAGCAAUUAAAGUGGCGCACGGGUGAGUAACGCGUAGACAAUCUGCCCUUCAGUCUGGGACAACUUUUCGAAAGGAGAGCUAAUACCGGAUAACAAUGCAUGGCACAAGUUGUAUAUUUGAAAGCUUUAUGUGCUGAAGGAGGGGUCUGCGUCCCAUUAGCUAGUUGGUAAGGUAAAGGCUUACCAAGGCAACGAUGGGUAGCGGGUUUGAGAGGACGAUCCGCCACACUGGAACUGAGACACGGUCCAGACUCCUACGGGAGGCAGCAGUGGGGAAUAUUGCACAAUGGAGGAAACUCUGAUGCAGCAAUGUCGCGUGAGCGAAGAAGGCCCUUGGGUCGUAAAGCUCUUUUAUGGGGGAAGAUGAUGACGGUACCCCAAGAAUAAGCACCGGCUAACUAUGUGCCAGCAGCCGCGGUAAUACAUAGGGUGCGAGCGUUGUUCGGAAUUACUGGGCGUAAAGGGCGCGCAGGCGA